Molecule: RNA transcript, 12148 nt
Organism: Scylla paramamosain (green mud crab)
Lineage: Eukaryota; Metazoa; Arthropoda; Malacostraca; Decapoda; Portunidae
Exons: 13
Source: RefSeq, a predicted model, not a curated record
UCAGUGUGUUAUGUGAUAGCGUGGGGGGAAGAUGUGCCGGACUGUGCUGCCUGGCCUGUCUUAGCGUGGUUCGGAGUUUUUCGCGGUUUUUUUUUUUUGUUUAGUGUGUUUUUACCUGUGUUUGCGUGUUUCUCCGUGCUUGCGUGUGUUUACCUGCCUGUGCUUACCUGCUGAGUGUUCCCGGAUAUAAACUGGAGAAUGUGGGCGUGGUGGGCUAGGACGGCGACGGUGGUGGUGGUGGUGGGCGGGGCAGGUGCAGCGCCAGGUAAUCAAGGGCGACAGUUCUUCAGUGGCGCGGGAAACAGUCUAGGUAUUGGCGCCCUCGGGAACACCAACACCAUUGGUUACAACACCCAGGGGCACGCCAACACCAUUAACUACGCCAGCAGGAACGGCAACACUGGAUACGGCACGGGCAGCAUUCAGCACGCUCAGCAAGCAACCAAUGGCCAGACUCUGCAAACUCAGGUGUCUCCGGACUACUACAGCGGAACCAGCCAGCAAUACCUCCCCAACACUGCAGGUUACUACGGCUUCUACCAGCAAGCCUCCCCAGACUAUGCCCACGACACCUACGUACCCGCAUGGCACGGCACAGGCACGGCAGCGGCCCACGGCACUGACUCCUCACCGGCACUCUCUGCCCUGGCGCUGCUCGGCUUCCUCUACUUCCUCAACUUGAUCCAGGGUGUUUUGCAGGACAACAGUGGCAGGAGGCGACGCUCAGUUCCUGCACUUGGUCUCGAAGGAGGCAGGAUGGAAGCACACAAGGAGGAGGAAGAGGGGCACUACAUCACCUCCUAUCUUGAAGAGGAACCAGUGAGGGGAGGUGAUAGGAUGGAUGGGACAGAGGAACAUGAGGAGGAGAAGAUUGACCACAAGGCUGAACCAAGGGCCUUCUCCUUCCUUGAGGACUUCUUCAUCAGACUCCCUCAGGCCCUUGGAAUGCAGAAAAGGCAAAUGAUUGACCGGCUUGGCUUGGACAAGGAGCCUAUGGGGAUUGCAAGCUUCAUCAGUUCCCGGGUCAAGAUGAUUUCCUCCAUUAUGAGCUUCCUUCAAGAUCCAAGCCCCUCUAGGAUCCGACGAGAUGUGCAGGAUACAGACUAUGAAGAAUUAGUGGAAGGAAAGACAUUUUCAGAGCCUUUCCCGAGUCCUUCCCUGGAGUCGUUCGUGGCCCUUAUGACCGAGGUCCUGAAGGAGUACUCACCCUUCAACUUGUGGCCAGUGGGUGAGGGACGUGCCUUCUCCCAAGAAAGUGACAAAAUGGCUGCUGAGGAGGAGAGUGAUGAGAGGAGAAGUGUGAGGGAGCGUCGCCACAGUCCCACCUCCAUGAAUGCCUGGUAUAGUGAGCUGGGCGGCAGGAACAAGGAAGCAGGUGGUGGUGUUGGGAGCAUUGCAGCCAAGGCCAUCUCCUUUCUUGGUGGAGGUGACUUGGCCCAGCAGGCAGCCAAGCAGGAGGCAGGCCCAACACUCCUGGAGCUGUCUCGUGGGUUGGGAGGCUCCAGCCCACACUGCCUCCAGAGGGUGCUGUGUCGCCUCACCUCUCAUGCCAGCCAGCUCUCCCUCUUCCCCCGUGUGGCUCUUCAAAUGCUCAGCUCCAAUCUUGUGGAUGGGAGCAAGGAUGCUGUGAAGGCUGGGCUGAGGGGAGAAAACUGCAGUCAGACCUUUGCCGAGUGUGAUGCAGAGACCAAGUUUGGGAAGACACAGGAGUGAACUAGGGAGUGGAGGAGCUGGAGUGCCUGGGGUGGUGGGUGGCUGGCAUUGGAGGUCUUCAGGGCAAACAAUGCAAGGUGUGUGUGGCUUAUCAAGAGCGUACAGAGUGUGUGCGGCUGAGAACAGUGCUGCCCCCACCUGGCCGGCCCGACACCACCACCGCUGUACUCACUUGGAGCAGUUCGGGUCUUGAAGCUUUUGACGGCCACAGGUCCUACACACACACACACACACACACGCGCGCGCAUACACACACACAGGGCACUUGUUCUACAGCAUUAUCUUCCGAUCUUCACCCAUGAGCAAUUCAAUGUUUUGUUUUUGGAAUUAUAUUGUUUUUUUUUUUCCUUUGAACGUAAAGAUGAGGAAUUUUAAAGUGACUAGCAUUUUAUUUUGAUUUGAUUUAUAUUUUUAAUUCAACUACAACUAAGAUUACAAUAAGACAGGUUAUUUAAUGUAUCGCCAGUACUUUUUUGGCUAGGAGAGUGUCUUAGAAAUGUCAUUAUUUGUGAUUUGUAACUAGAUAUAUGGUAGUAAUUGCACACUUCCUCAUUCAUAAGGAUUUACAUGUAGUGUGUUGCCAAGAACUGGUGCCCUGUGUGUUGACUUCUCCACACACCACUGCAGCAUGUGUGUGUCAUUGCUGGAACACACCAAACAACACAAACUCAGUCACUUACAUGUGUGUGUAUGUAUGUGAGUGUGGAAGACUGCAUAUUUUCAUACAUACAGUCAUAUUGAUACACUGACUACAUAAAUGUGUCUAUAUGUAUGCUACACGUUUGCUGGUAGACGUGCGUUGGUGUAAUAUAUUCACAGGUGUGUAUGAGCACUUGCUUCCUUAUGCCCUGGUUCACGUUGCCAUAAAUCAGAAGUGCCGCUACACCUGCCCACACAUGCAGUACAGGUGUGGCCAGGUGUAGGUUACCUGGCAACUGGAUAGCAAUUAAUGUCUCCCAAUUAGCCCUCCAUUUACACCAACCUUUUUUUAAUGCAUUUUUUGUCUUCACAUCCUCGCGUUCUUACACCAGACAAACUCGGUCACCCCCAAAAAGUCGCAGUUUCAGAAUAUUAACCUGAAUACAAACACGGUGAUAUUUUCAAGACAAUCCAGUGGAGAUGCCAAAAAACUCCUCAGGUAACUCUAGAAACUUGCGAUAGGCAGUUUGACUAUAGAUGGGAUGACAUGUUAAGUUACGAGUGUGGGUAAUGAUGCGCAUUUCUCUUGACUUUGUUUUGCUCGGUGCCCUUGCCUAUACCGCAGGGUGAAGCAUGUCAGGUGGAGUCCAGGGCGAGGCAAACACUGCAAGACUGUAUAGCUUCUUUCCUGCGUGACUCUAUUUUCUUAAACGUUUCAGUCUCCUACAAGAGCUAUUUUCAAAGGCCACAGAUCGCUAGUUAGUUUUCAUUGGGUGCUUUUUCUCAUUGAUGGUGCUGAAUUCUUGUUAAAUUAUCACUAGGAUUAGGAAAUGAAAAUUGAGGGCCUUGGUAACUGUCACUAGAGCCUGAUAGCAAUAGUGAGAAGAGAGACAAGGUUUGAGUGUGUUUGUCUUUUGUAUCGGUGGUGCCAACACAACCAUGAACCCACGUGUGUUUUAGGAGCUGUUUUGUCAAAGUUACCAGGCCUUUGCAGUUUAUUUAUUUUUUUUAUGUGUGUGUGUGUGUGUGUGUGUGUGUGUGUGUGUGUUGCUAGCCCAUGCGAAUACGCCGGCAGUGGGGUGGUGCUUGGUCAUAAUUUGUGUUCUGCUUCGUCACCAUAAUGAACCGUAAUCAGCUGAGGUUUGAAGGUUUGAAUAACGGUGCUUCUGAGGAGAGGAGCUUAUUUCGACUCAUAAUGGCCACGAAGCAGGGGACAACUUAUGGCCGCUACUGUACCUGAGUGAUGCUCUAAUGAAAACAUGUAUUUACAGCAUCACGGCUUUCCUAUGUGUGUGUGUGUGUGUGUGUCGGAAGUAAAAGGUGAAUCCGUAACUCAUGAUUCGAGCUAGACAAACGAAACACUCCAUUUCUUACCUCGUGUGUGUGUGUGUGUGUGUGUGCGUGUGUAUGAAGCAUAAGAUAUUUAAGAACUAUGAGCACCACAGGUCAGUAAUUAAUUGACUGGAAUUAGACUGAAGUAAAUAAAGAAUGGACUGUCGAGUGUGUGUAAAGUACAAGGUAUUUCGAAACUGUAAAUAUCACGGUCAAUAAUUCCAUGACUGAGCGAGACUGUGAUGAAGUUUCUUAGUGUGUGCGUGUGUGUGUGUGUGUGUGUGUGUGUAGAGUCACGCAAAGAUGAAGCAAUACCAGUUCCAGUGUGUUCCUGCUCCCUGCCGCCUCAGCUCUGCCACCCUUGACAAUCACACGCCCUCAGCACGCCCUACACAGUUCUACACAGCGUCGGUAACUACCAGUAGGCAUGUUUGCUGGACAAGCGCUGAACUAGAUAACCUUACUUAGCCCUAGGUAUUGAGUUAUUAUUAAUCUGCCUGUCGGUGGCUCGGGGGUUGUGACGAUGCAACGAGUCACCAGGUUCACUCAUUCGACGCUCUGUGUAGUGAGGCGCUUAUCAACCCUCACCCCUCACGCAUACGCACACGCACGCACACACGCACUCACACACAUGAACUCAGCUUUAUUUUUUUAUUGUUUAUCCUACUCUUUAUUUACGUACGGCCCUACGCACUCCACAAUCAACAACAAUAACAACAACAACAAGCGUCGAAACCAGAAACAGAUGUGUACGUAACUUUUCUUAGUAAUAUAAUGACGUUGCUCGUGAAUAGCAAUGAUUAACGUGAAGUACUCCUUAUCCUUACAUAGUUAGUAGUAGUAGUAGUAGUAGUGACCUCUCGUUCUGUCCGUAUGUCUAGGGGGUCUGUUUGUCUAGCUGUCUGCAGCCGCAAAUGUAUAGUCAAAUACUAAGUGUUGCGGACGAUACAUGCGUGGUGACUCAGGACUGGGGAUAUAAUGCCAUGAAUCAGCCAGCUUCACUAAUUCCUGCCACGUGACUAGAAAGACGAUCCAACGGUAGGAGUAUAAAUAACAGGACAGCGCGCCAGGCCGUUGGUAAAAGCCGCUUCGCCACGCCAUGCACCGUCUCUUCCAAAAAACAAAAAAACAAAAAGAGAAAACGAAAGAAAAAGCCUUUGCGCACAUUGGAGGAAAGAAUUAGCAUUUGUCGUGACUUCCUGGCGUUUGAGGAAGCAUGAGAGUAUUUCAGCGUCAACUCUCGUACAUCAAGACUGAGUAAAGGCCGCGUUUGGUUUAAAAAAUGGUUGUGUUCAUGAUGAAAGGGCGUUUUAUAGCGACCCGCGGCUUGCUUGCAUGCACGCUGCUGUUUGUUGGACGUGGUUGUGGUGGGCACCCGCCGUGGUCGAGGGUCGGAGUGUGGUGGUGGUGGUGGGCUUGUGGAAGGGGCGUGAGGUGAGACUGUGGUGGUUGUCAGGUGGUAGUGGUGGUGGUGGAUGGUCUUCCAAGUGGGGCGCUGGGAUUCAGGUGUCUCAGAUAAUCAAUCAGUCAAUCAAUCAGUGAACACGAAGUCAUGGAAGAAGAAAAAAAAAAAAAAGUCGUCCCUUAAGCUUAGCGUCACUGUAAAAUCUACAAGAACAACCAAAUAAUGAGCGGUAUCUUGUGCAGUGAAAGUACAGACUCGAGCUCUGAGCCUGACGAGGGGACCAGCACACAGGGGUCGGGUAGUGGAAGCUAAGGCGAUGGGGUGUCCUCUACUACGAUGAAACCAAAGCCUCACUGAAGAACGGCGUGCAGGACUCACACUAAGAGAUCUACACGAGGCAGUGCAUUUGUAGGCUGGGGAAGGAUCAGAGGCGCGGGGAAAUGUGGCGGCUCUCUGGGUUUGUCUUUUGAAACGCUAGGACCAUAUUCUGAAACCUGCGUCACCUCUGCUAUUUUCAAAAGGCUCUAGUUGAAGCUACACUGGUUUCUAAGGGUGCUUUUACGAUUCUAGUGACAGAUUAACAAGAUUUCUAUGUUGUUAAAAGGGGAAACACUAUUUAGAACACGGCUAAUCAUCACUGUGGCCUUUGAAAAUACUCGUGGUGAGAGAGCAAAGCGUUUCUGAAUGCGAGUCUAAGCCACACAUAAUUUCAAAGGCCCCAUAGAUCAUUGGCCCUGGUAAAUGUGUCUUCCUUAAUGAUAUCUUGUUAAAAUUAUCACUAGAAUCAUGAAAACACCUUUGAAAAUCGCAACUUCCUCACGACUCCCUCUAGAGCCUAUUCAGAGUGGAGACGAGGCUUCGAAACGUUUAAAACUCGAGAAUCAGGUCCAGAAGUACGCGGAAGAUAGUGCCUAGCUAUCCUUCAAUUGGCUCCAAGUGGCCGAGUUAUCCUGUGACAUACGUACUAGUGAUAUGGAUAAAGUAUCGUGGUUUUGAUUAGUAUGGAGAGUCACGGGUAAUGGGUUAAGUGAGAACGCUUGGUGGAGCAAUGGAUGGUGGAGAAUAACAGGGUGUCUUGGCUCGUCCAUCUAGCUUAGACUGAUAGACGCAAAUAUACUGGAUUGGUUAGUAGUUCUUGGGUAGUGUUUUUUUUUUUUUUGGUUAGCUAAUGGAAGGCUGGAAUAUUUGUGUUAGUGGGAAUGUUAAAUGAUGUAUUAGUUUAGUUUUAGUUUCCAAUCGUUAUUUUUUUUUCUUUUGUUUUGUAUUGUCUGGUUUCUUUUUAUCCUCUGUUAUCAAUAAUCCUCUCUUCCAGUCGAGGUUUUCUUCAUUACCAAUUGCGUUUCCUUCAUUAUCAAUUAAUAUUUUCUUUAUUUCCCAAGCAACGUUUUCUGUACUCCGAAUCAACGUUUUCUUUAUCCACAAUCAACGUUUUCUGUAUCUCCAAGCAGUAUUUUUCUUGACUUUCAAUUAGCGUUUGCAUCACUACCAUUCAAGUUAGACUAGUAUAAGAAAAUAGGUGGUUAGGUUAAGUCAGGAUUAGGUAACGUAACCUAAAGCAACCGAACCUGACAUGACCGAACCCAACCUGAAGCACUAGUUGAUCGAAAUAAAAAGAAAACUUGAUUGGAAACGUGCGAUCAGAUGAAUGAAAAAAAAAAAAAAAACGAAAGACGAGUGUCGAUUCAAAACAUGCGAGUUACACCUGAAAACUGAAAUCAGAAAACGGGAACCCGGACUCUUCAUUUGACACAUAAACCUGAGCAUAGGACACGUGGCCUGAGAGACGGGACAUGGCGACACAAGGACGAGGAAAUAGUAUCGAGAGCAAUGUGGUCGUGUUAAUCUUUAGACGAAUUACCCCUCCAAUUUGACGUUUAGUUUAGUCCUACGCUCCAUUUUCUAUUCGGAUUAUAGGGGAGACUUAAGCUCAUUAGGUAUGCAUUAAAAUUCAAGGUUUAUUCAAAGUAAAUUAUGUCCAGAUAGAUUGAGAGAAAAUGAGGACUGUGUGUGUGUGUGUGUGUGUGUGUGUGUGUGUACUCCACUUUCUUGAACGACUUGAAAGAAAAGUUAAUUAUUUUACGUCAUAAUUUUCGCAGUAGUAGUAGUAGUAGUAGUAGUAGUAGUAGUUGUAGUAGUAGUAGUAGUAGUAGUCAAGCAAGUGGAGUGUGGAUUUUUAAGUACUUCUCUCCUUUUCUCUCUCCCUUAUUUCUCUCUGUUCGCUCCACUGAAUCUUCUCUCCCUUUUCCUCCCCUUCCCCAUCCCUUCUCCUUCCCACCCCUCCCACUACAAGCCACUUCUCCAUAAAAAAAAAAAAGAAAAAAAAAUUGCUAGCGAAGAACAUCACUCAUUCACCCUUAUCGUUUUUUAUGUACAUAGCAGUGAGGGAAAAACCUGAAUACAAAAAACUCAUACAAAUAUACAGUGAUAUGAUAGUACUGAACGGUUUCCAUGCUGGGGACUGGAAGGGCUGGAAGGGGCUUAGGACACGGCUAGGAGCUAUGGGUCUGGCUAAGGUCUGCUGGAAGGGUGCUGGAAAAGAAGUAGAAUUGAUUGCAUAUGAGUUUGUGGUUUGACUUGAAGUGAUAAACGUCUGCUGGAAGGAUACUGGAAGGUAUAAAAGGGACUGGAUUCGAGUUUGUGGUGUCUGGAAGCGGCCAAGCUCAGGAGAGGAGCUAUGGAGACUUGUAAGGGUGUUUGAGCAGGGCAGAAGGGAAUAGAUUUGGGCUUGUGGUAUACUGGAAGGGGCCAAGGUCUGGAAAGGGGCUGUGGGAACAGGAAGGGUGCUGAAAGAGGUAGUUUAGGAGUUGCAGAGACCUGCUGGAUGUGACAUGGGUGAAGUUGUAGGUGAAAAUGGUCUGGAAGGGGGAUGAGGGACUGGAAGGAGAUUCGAGGUCUGGAGGAAGAGAAAUAGGAGUGUCUUUAACCAGCAAAUGACUCCCAGCUACAGAAUACUGCUAUUACUGCCAUCACCAUCACUCCAUCACCAUUACUCGUGUGUGUGUGUGUGUGUGUGUGUGUGUGUGUGACAUAUAAACCAUCUUACAUUACAAAAAAUAGAAAACUCAUCGAAUAUAGUUAUAAAUUUUGUGUUGAACUAAUGAAAGAGAAAAAAAAAAACAGUUGUGUUACCAAUUAUAAAGCCAUUUUUUAUAUACAACCAUAAAAAAAGAAAACAAACUGAAUAUUUGAAAUUUGACAAAAACUGUUAAUGAAUUCGUGAAAUACCAAACUCAAAGCUAAACAUUUUUAUCCUUUCAAAUUUAGGUAGCUUUGUGAAGAGUCUUUCAUAAUACAUAGAGGUAAUGGUAACAGAGGUAGUAGUAGUAGUAGUAGUAGUAGUAGUAGUAAUAGUAGUAGUAAUAACUCGCAUCGCUCCUAGUUAUGAUGUACCGAACACUCGCGCGCACACACGCAAUAUGCUUACAGAACACUCACACCCCACACACACACACACGCACACACACACACACACAUCGAACAAGAAUGAUUGUAACAAGUUCUAUAAACAACAGAGUAGCAACAACAAGUCAUGGGCACUCAUGUGAGAAGGAGAAGCCAUACUACUGUAUCUCUUGCUCCUUGGCUGGUGGUCUUAAACGCUUCGCUCUCUCAAUACAAGACAGCCUAUUUUUUACACUUCGCUCGCUCAUCUCGACUGCUUUCAAAGGCGACAGAGAUGACUUUUCCUGGUUUUCAUGGGUAUUUUUUUUUCACUGAUGAUGCAGAAUCCUUUAAACUUUCCCUUGAAUGAAAACACCCUUGAAAAUCCGAAUAACUUCCACUACAGCCUUUAACAACAAGUCGUGAUUAGACGAGGAGCGCCUUCGAAGGUUACAAAGAUGACUAGCCGGGUUUUUAUAGAUGCUUUACAUAUAGUUGAUGCAAAAAUCCUUAUUAAACUACCACCGGAAUUAUGAAAACACCCUGGAAACCGUGAAAUGAUCUCCACUAGAGCCUGUUCACGUGAUAAACAGGACGAGGAAGCGUUUAAGAACACAAUCCAACUCUGAACUUCUCAAACUUGAUAAAACACAAUAAAAAAAAAACAAUGCAUAUCAAAACAGGAAUAAUCAAUGUUGCAUCAAUUCUAUUCCUUUUUUUAAUGAUUCCGUGAGAUAAAAGUACAGCAUAGGCGGUAAUACUUUUGAAUUAAUGAUAAAAAGAAUAACUGGUUACAGAAUACUACUCGGGGGACUGACUAGCGGUCCCCUCGGCGGUGACCCAAGCACCUUGCGUCAUGUUAAGAGGCAGGUGUGGUUCGAGUUAAAUGAUGCUUCAAAGAGUGCUUUAAAUGCUUCAUCUCCUUAUCUCAUGAAGUGUCGGUGCUUUGUUUGGGAAAGAAAAGAAAAAAAAAGGAAUAUUUGUCUUUCCUCUCUUCCCGCGGGUUGAGGAAACUUAAAUUUUUCAUGAUUAUUAUUAUUAUUAUUAUUAUUAUUAUUAUUAUUAUUAUUAUUAUUAUUAUUAUUUAUACAUAACGCUGCGAAUAUUUUUUUUGUAUUCAAUUGAGCUUAAAAUUAGCGCUUUUAUUUUUAUUUAUUUUUCAUUAAAUCAUAUCACAUUAUUAUUAUUAAAUUCCCCUUUUUUUCACUCUUCAUUUUCCUCUGCACACGCACACACACACUUCACUUCUUUUCUCAAGUUUUCAUUAUCUCCUUACAUACGUUUUCUUCACUGUCUUUAUUUCCUUAACAUUUUUUUUUUUGAUCAAUUUUGCUGCGUAACAUGACCAUCAGUUUAUAUAUAUAUUUUGUGUUUGUGCAGAUCCGUGUAGUAGUAGUAUUUUUUUUUCACGAAACGACAGAUAAAACUAUAUAUAUAUGUUAUACUUGUUCAAAAGGCGGUAACUGUGCUUAUCAACAAAGAGGGAAGAGUAUGCAAAACUAUAGCCAUUACUUUGUUUUGUAGUUCCCAACACUCGCAUCUUUCCUUCUCUCUCAGUCUGUCUUUCUGUCGUUCCGUUUCCCUCUUUUUCUCUGUCACGCUUCCCAGGGCUGACAAUCUCACGGUCAGUCCUGGAUGUUUAGUUUGUCAGGUACAGAAAGGUUCUCACUCCAGACUAUCGGAUGACUCACUCACUCACCUUCAUCCUCUCCGUCGCAGUUGAAACAGGAGAGGAAGGAAGCAAUAUAUAGUGUAAGGGUUGGGUCUCACUUAACAUCAUAUCAUCAUCAUCUUCAUCAUCACAAAUCACCAACAACAACGUCACUAUCAUUAUAUACAUACACACACACAUAUAUAUAUAAAUUUCACCAUCUUAUGUGAUAGAAUGAGCUUUUGUGGAACGCUUUCUUUGUUCCUGUUUCUUAUAUUCUUCCUGGUGCAGUACAGCAGAGUUUCGCAGACACGGAAUGCAAGACACUGGCUGGCUGGCUGGCUGGCUUGCUGGCUGGCUGGCUGGCUGGGUGGUUGGCUGGCUGGCUGGCUUGCUGGCUGGCUGGCUGGCUGGCUGGCUUUCUUGCGGAAUGGCUUGUAUAGGCGCACAAAGCUUGUUAAAUUCUAGGGGGUUUUAUUUUUCAGUCUUUUUUUUUAUUUUAUCACGUUGGCGUCGCAGCUACAGAAACUAUUAGUAUUAGAAUUAACUUUACACUAGAGAGCUACCGUGACCUUCGGCGUCGGCAUUGCGUCACUGUCUCUUGCAAAUGUCCAUGAAAAAACCUUUGAUUUAGUAGCGAAUAACCGGAACCAUUACAACAGCUCAGUAUAUGGUUCGUUUUUGUGUGAGUCAAGAAUCUCCAGCUUUAUACUACCAGUCAAAUAAGAGUGUAAUUAAGGUAAAAAGGAAUCAGAUACCACUAUUUUGCAUCUUGGUGAGUUACAAUCGCUUAGAAUCGCAUCGAGACAAGACUACGGAAUGAGGGAAUAGGAUUAAUAUUAUUCAUCUUCUCUAUAAGGGAUUGGCAAUGGUGCAGAUUAAAAGGAUUCAUUCAUUUUGACCUGUAUUUUGAAACUGACGCCGAGGACCGGAACGGGUACUGACGGCCAGACACUUGGGGCGCUGCUUGGGCCGCCAUUAACCCCGCCGACCUUCCUUGACCUAACCUCACCUAAACCUUUCUUCUAAUUUACGAGAUCUCAUGGGAUCCUCAUUUUUUUUGUUUUUUUUGAGGGUUUUAUUGUGUUCAGUGCAUUUUUAGGGACAGACAGACGAAAUUGUGUGUGUGUGUGUGUGUGUGUGUGUGUGUGUGUGUGUGUGUUACUACCUCCUCCAACCUUACAGCUGUUUAGUUAUUGCUUUAAGAGUUAAUGUUUCUCUCUCUCUCUCUCUCUCUCUCUCUCUCUCUCUCUCUCUGCUACACUAGGCAUUAAGAGAGAGAGAGAGAGAGAGAGAGAGAGAGAGAGAGAGAGAGAGAGAGAGAGAGAGAGACUGCCCUACGAGUAUAAGAAAGUGUAUAAUUGUGUUUAGUGAGAGUUACAACGUCUUGCUGUCUUCCCUCUCCCUUCAACUCUCCCUCUUACUCCUCCUCUUCCUCUUCCUCUUCCUCUUCCUCCUGUCCGCCCAGAUAAACUGAAUUUGUCCUUCCAAACCAUUCUCUUCAUAAAUUCUUCAGGAACAUUUUUGUACACUUCUCUUUUUACCUCUUUUCCUUCGUUCUAAGAGUUGGACACACUCAGAACAGCUAAAGAAACGGUUUUUCCUUUUUUUUUUCCUCCAUUUUUAUUUGUUCGAGGAGAAAGAGAUGUUAUUAUUUCCUCUUUUCUCUUUUUUCUUGGACCUAGACACUGAGCAGCUGAAGAGUUUUUUUUUCCUUUUUUUCCGUCUUUUCUUUCGUUCUGUAAGCUGAAGAGAAUGUUAUUUUCCUCUUUUUCUAUUUUCCUUCGAAUUAGGAGCUGAAGUGAAGGUAUUUUCCUCUUUUUAUCCCUUUUCCUUUCGUUCUACAAGCUGGAUACACACUGAAGAGCUGAAGAGAAAGUUAUUUUUCCUUCUUUUUCCCCUUUUCCUUCGCUGAAGAGAUGGAGUUUUCUUUCUUUUUUUCCCUUUCCUUUUCGUUCUUUGAGGUGGACGCUUUGAGGAGCCGCGGGGAAGGUCAGUUUCCUCCUCCUGCCGUCAUUAUCCUUGCC